Molecule: ribosomal RNA, 711 nt
Filed under: Phytophthora colocasiae
Lineage: Eukaryota; Oomycota; Peronosporomycetes; Peronosporales; Peronosporaceae
Description: eukaryotic LSU rRNA
Rfam family: Eukaryotic large subunit ribosomal RNA
Source: RNAcentral
AGCGGGAAGAGCUCAAGCUUAAAAUCUCCGUGCAAGUUUUGUGCGGCGAAUUGUAGUCUAUAGAGGCGUGGUCAGCGUGGGCGCUUGGGGCAAGUUCCUUGGAAGAGGACAGCAUGGAGGGUGAUACUCCCGUUCAUCCCUGAGUGGCUCGUGCGUACGACCCGUUUUCUUUGAGUCGCGUUGUUUGGGAAUGCAGCGCAAAGUAGGUGGUAAAUUCCAUCUAAAGCUAAAUAUUGGUGCGAGACCGAUAGCGAACAAGUACCGUGAGGGAAAGAUGAAAAGAACUUUGAAAAGAGAGUUAAAGAGUACCUGAAACUGCUGAAAGGGAACCGAAUCGUUUCCAGUGUCUAUAAUCUGUGGCAUAUUUCAUUGGCGAGCGUUUGCGUGCGUGUGCUGUGGCAGUGGCUUUUUUGGCUGCGCCUGGUGUGUGUGGUGUGAGUGUUUGCUGGUGCCCUGUGCUGCGGUGGGACGUCAAGGUCAGUUCGUAUGCUGCGGGAAAUGGCUGCCGAGGAGGUAGGGCUUACGCUCCGCGUUUGUCUGUUAUAUCUUGGUGGACGAGUCGUCGCGGUUGGGACUGAGGUGCCUACAACGUGCUUUUGAGUGGGUUUGUGUCUCCGUGUGCGCCGUGUGCGGAUAGCUUGCUAUGCGUGUGUGGUUGUGUGUGGAUUGAUGCGGGCCUUAACUUGUCGCCGUUCGGGACGUGACGAAAAU